Long non-coding RNA from Heterocephalus glaber (naked mole-rat), 592 nucleotides. RefSeq lists it as uncharacterized. The record is from RefSeq and is a predicted model, not a curated record. NCBI's taxonomy places the organism in Eukaryota, Metazoa, Chordata, Mammalia, Rodentia, Bathyergidae.
GUUCCUUUAGGCUACGCACAUUUGACUUUAAUCAUCUGGAUAGAAAGACCUGGCCAAGCUAAGUAGGACAAAGCUGAUCCUAUCGCACAAGGAACUCUAUCCCGCAUUUCCUCUAUUGACUCGGAGGUUCAGCUUACCUGCUUCCUUGAAGACACAGUGCUGUUGAAACAUCUAUUGGAGGGUCUGAAGGAAUGGGAUUUAAGAAGAGGAUUCUAGCUAUGAAUCCAUAGAGGACAGUGGCCAGGAUCAUUGGCACAACAUAAAACACACCAAAGUCCAUCAAAUAAAUAGUGACCUCUUAAAACAUCUUCUGCUCCGUGCCCACUUCGAUCACAGCGGAUCUACUCUCUGUGGAAGAUUGUGCACAUACUCAUUCACAGUGUCACCAUUCCCGAUCAAGUCACCAGCACAGACCAGACAGCCGCAGCAGCAGCAGGAGCAGCAGGAGCAGCAGGAGCAGCAGCAGCAGCAGCAGCAACAGUAGGAGCAGCAGCAGCAGGAGCAGGAGCAGCAAGAGCAGCAACGAGGCUGUCAAAUCAUAGAUCUUCCCCUAAGGAGAGCACACACGCGCGCUCUCUCCCCACACAGACAC